GAUGAACGCUGGCGGCGUGCCUAAUACAUGCAAGUCGAGCGAACAGACGAGGAGCUUGCUCCUCUGACGUUAGCGGCGGACGGGUGAGUAACACGUGGAUAACCUACCUAUAAUACUGGGAUAACUUCGGGAAACCGGAGCUAAUACCGGAUAAUAUAUUGAACCGCAUGGUUCAAUAGUGAAAGACGGUUUUGCUGUCACUUAUAGAUGGAUCCGCGCCGCAUUAUCUAGUUGGUAAGGUAACGGCUUACCAAGGCAACGAUGCGUAGCCGACCUGAGAGGGAGAUCGGACACACGGAAAAUGAGACGGGGUCCAGACUCAUACGGGAGGCAGGAGUAGGGAAUCGUCCGAAAGGGGCGAAAGCUAGACGGAGAAACCCCGCGUGAGUGAAGAAGGUUUGGGGAGCGAAAACCUCUGUUAGGAGGAAAAAAGAAAUGUGUAAGUAACUAGGCGCGUUUUGACGGUCCAAAAAAAGAAAGCCACGGAAAAUUACG
RNAcentral lists this ribosomal RNA (495 nucleotides) under uncultured bacterium. RNAcentral's name for it is "partial 16S ribosomal RNA". It matches the Rfam family "Bacterial small subunit ribosomal RNA", at positions 28 to 505 of the family's 1533-position model. The record is from RNAcentral.